GGAUGACUGUUUGUAUCAGUUCCACCUCAUCACAAGAACACAGUGUGUGGCCAAGCUUGGAGGCCAAGCUAGGAGGAUUUGGGAUCUGAACCCAGUCAGCCCAGGUGCAGAGUUCGGCAGAGUCACAAGUUCCUUCAAGGAGCGGUGAAGUGAUGUACGCUCUGGAUGCAUGGGCUAUUCACUGCCGCAUGGUUUACGGCAGCACGCCAAGGGAAGCAACUGAAACACCUCACACCAGCCAAGAUGAAUCUCAGUCUACAGUUGACCUCAAACAUGGGUUGGAACUGUGGGGGUCCACUUAUUCCUGGAUUUCCUUCCAUCUCUGCCACUCCUGAGACAGCAAGACCAAAGCCUCCUCUUCCUCCUCCUCUGCCUACUCAAUAUAAAGAUGACCAGAAGGAAGACCCUGAUGGUGAUCCACUUCCUCUUCGUGAAUAGUAAUUAUAUAUUCUCCUCCUUAUGAUUUUCUUAA
Molecule: long non-coding RNA, 472 nt
Filed under: Callithrix jacchus (white-tufted-ear marmoset)
Lineage: Eukaryota; Metazoa; Chordata; Mammalia; Primates; Cebidae
Description: lncRNA (ENSCJAG00000076124.1)
Source: RNAcentral